RNAcentral lists this ribosomal RNA (433 nucleotides) under uncultured bacterium. RNAcentral's name for it is "bacterial SSU rRNA". It matches the Rfam family "Bacterial small subunit ribosomal RNA", at positions 29 to 507 of the family's 1533-position model. The record is from RNAcentral.
AACGAACGCUGGCGGCAGGCCUAACACAUGCAAGUCGAGCGAACCCUUCGGGGUUAGCGGCGGACGGGUGAGUAACGCGUGGGAACGUGCCCUUUGCUACGGAAUAGCCCCGGGAAACUGGGAGUAAUACCGUAUGUGCCCUUCGGGGGAAAGAUUUAUCGGCAAAGGAUCGGCCCGCGUUGGAUUAGGUAGUUGGUGGGGUAAUGGCCUACCAAGCCGACGAUCCAUAGCUGGUUUGAGAGGAUGAUCAGCCACACUGGGACUGAGACACGGCCCAGACUCCUACGGGAGGCAGCAGUGGGGAAUCUUAGACAAUGGGCGCAAGCCUGAUCUAGCCAUGCCGCGUGAUCGAUGAAGGCCUUAGGGUUGUAAAGAUCUUUCAGUGGGGAAGAUAAUGACUGUACCCACAGAAGAAGCCCCGGCUAACUCCGUG